CUUAGUAGCGGCGAGUGAAGCGGCAAAAGCUCAAAUUUGAAAUCUGGCGCCUUCGGUGUCCGAGUUGUAAUUUGAAGAUUGUAACCUUGGGGUUGGCUCUUGUCUAUGUUUCUUGGAACAGGACGUCACAGAGGGUGAGAAUCCCGUGCGAUGAGAUGCCCAAUUCUAUGUAAGGUGCUUUCGAAGAGUCGAGUUGUUUGGGAAUGCAGCUCUAAGUGGGUGGUAAAUUCCAUCUAAAGCUAAAUAUUGGCGAGAGACCGAUAGCGAACAAGUACAGUGAUGGAAAGAUGAAAAGAACUUUGAAAAGAGAGUGAAAAAGUACGUGAAAUUGUUGAAAGGGAAGGGUUUGAGAUCAGACUCGAUAUUUUGUGAGCCUUGCCUUCGUGGCGGGGUGACCCGCAGCUUAUCGGGCCAGCAUCGGUUUGGGCGGUAGGAUAAUGGCGUAGGAAUGUGACUUUACUUCGGUGAAGUGUUAUAGCCUGCGUUGAUGCUGCCUGCCUAGACCGAGGACUGCGAUUUUAUCAAGGA
This 528-nucleotide ribosomal RNA is filed under the name Meyerozyma guilliermondii. RNAcentral describes it as "LSU rRNA". It matches the Rfam family "Eukaryotic large subunit ribosomal RNA", at positions 79 to 612 of the family's 3401-position model. The record is from RNAcentral. Lineage: Eukaryota; Fungi; Ascomycota; Pichiomycetes; Serinales; Debaryomycetaceae.